This 497-nucleotide ribosomal RNA is filed under the name uncultured bacterium. RNAcentral describes it as "partial 16S ribosomal RNA". It matches the Rfam family "Bacterial small subunit ribosomal RNA", at positions 28 to 507 of the family's 1533-position model. The record is from RNAcentral.
GAUGAACGCUGGCGGCGUGCCUAAUACAUGCAAGUCGAGCGAACGGACGAGAAGCUUGCUUUUCUGAUGUUAGCGGCGGACGGGUGAGUAACACGUGGAUAACCUACCUAUAAGACUGGGAUAACUUCGGGAAACCGGAGCUAAUAUCGGAUAAUAUUUUGAACCGCAUGGUUCAAAAGUGAAAGACGGUCUUGCUGUCACUUAUAGAUGGAUCCGCGCUGCAUUAGCUAGUUGGUAAGGUAACGGCUUACCAAGGCAACGAUGCAUGGCCGACCUGAGAGGGUGAUCGGCCACACUGGAACUGAGACACGGUCCAGACUCCUACGGGAGGCAGCAGUAGGGAAUCUUCCGCAAUGGGCGAAAGCCUGACGGAGCAACGCCGCGUGAGUGAUGAAGGUCUUCGGAUCGUAAAACUCUGUUAUUAGGGAAGAACAUAUGUGUAAGUAACUGUGCACAUCUUGACGGUACCUAAUCAGAAAGCCACGGCUAACUACGUG